CCUACGGGAGGCAGCAGUGAGGAAUAUUGGUCAAUGGGCGAGAGCCUGAACCAGCCAAGUCGCGUGAAGGAAGAAUGCCCUACGGAUUGUAAACUUCUUUUAUAAGGGAGCAAAGUGAGCCACGUGUGGCUUUUGGAGUGUACUUUAUGAAAAAGCAUCGGCUAACUCCGUGCCAGCAGCCGCGGUAAUACGGAGGAUGCGAGCGUUAUCCGGAUUUAUUGGGUUUAAAGGGAGCGUAGAUGGGUUGUUAAGUCAGUUGUGAAAGUUGGGGGCUUAAACGUAAAACUGCAAUUGAUACUGGCAGUCUUGAGUACAGGUGAGGUAGGCGGAAUUCGUGGUGUAGCGGUGAAAUGCGUAGAUAUCACGAAGAACUCCGAUUGCGAAGGCAGCUUACUGGACUGCCACUGACGCUGAGGCACGAAAGUGUGGGUAUCGAACAGGAUUAGAUACCCCUGUAGUC
Molecule: ribosomal RNA, 460 nt
Filed under: uncultured bacterium
Lineage: Bacteria
Description: partial 16S ribosomal RNA
Rfam family: Bacterial small subunit ribosomal RNA
Source: RNAcentral